Molecule: ribosomal RNA, 467 nt
Filed under: uncultured bacterium
Lineage: Bacteria
Description: bacterial SSU rRNA
Rfam family: Bacterial small subunit ribosomal RNA
Source: RNAcentral
UGGCCAGACUCCUACGGGAGGCAGCAGUGAGGAAUAUUGGUCAAUGGGCGUAAGCCUGAACCAGCCAAGUCGCGUGAGGGACGACGGCCCUACGGGUUGUAAACCUCUUUUGUCGGGGAGCAAAAGACGCCACGCGUGGCGUUCCGAGAGUACCCGAAGAAAAAGCAUCGGCUAACUCCGUGCCAGCAGCCGCGGUAAUACGGAGGAUGCGAGCGUUAUCCGGAUUUAUUGGGUUUAAAGGGUGCGCAGGCGGAAUGUCAAGUCAGCGGUAAAAUUUCGGGGCUCAACCCCGUCGUGCCGUUGAAACUGGCGUUCUUGAGUGAGCGAGAAGUAUGCGGAAUGCGUGGUGUAGCGGUGAAAUGCAUAGAUAUCACGCAGAACUCCGAUUGCGAAGGCAGCAUACCGGCGCUCAACUGACGCUCAUGCACGAAAGCGUGGGUAUCGAACAGGAUUAGAUACCCGAGUAA